GUUAUUUUGGCAGAUAAUAUGCGUAAGAUUUAGGAUCUUAUAAAAUAGAAUUGAUCUAUA
RNAcentral lists this transfer RNA (60 nucleotides) under Tumidotheres maculatus. Its description in RNAcentral is "tRNA-Leu". The record is from RNAcentral. Lineage: Eukaryota; Metazoa; Arthropoda; Malacostraca; Decapoda; Pinnotheridae.